AAACUUUUCCGUGUUCGUCAAUCUGAAGUCUUCCCAUACUUUCUUCCCGAGGGGGUGCCCUUCUCCAGCAACCUUCUGCAGAUUUAAACUGGAGCGAUUUUCCCGUGCUCACCCUGCCGCAGACAUUUUCAAAAGAAACCCGUGUUGCUCCUCUGUGCUGGGUGGCAGAACCCUCAGGACACCAAUCAUCUCACACUUAACGACCCAGCCAGAUAUCAGCCUGCUUUACUGCCUUCAGCUGGGGAGCUCUCCAAGGGACUGGUCCUGCAGAAGUGUUGUCAGUCAGUUAACCAGGCAGACCAAGUGCUGUGUUUCAAGCAGAAGAUGAGGUGAAGAAGCAGAUCCUGUUUCAAGGGCUGGAGACCUUGACUGGGCAGUGCCCAAACCAGGGCAGGGCACCUCUGUGGCCCUCAUGGCCUUCUUCCAGGGUGUGUGCUGUACAGAGGGAAGCAGAAGCACCUUCAAAAGCUAGAAAAUAGGAAAAUGUCCUGAAGCACAGCAGUUACAACUGAUAGUUGAAGUCAACAAGGUGAAGAAUUAUUUACUUUGCUGCUUUAAAGAAAAAGGAGGGGGCUGAGGAAGAGGGAGUAGAGUGGAAAUACUAACCAACAAAUGUAAAUGCUUAAAUUUGCAUUGCUAUAAUGUUGUCUAAGAGUAUGGAAAUUUCAAGGGUUUUACUUUACCUCCACAGGAAGUUUUGUGUUUAUAUUUUAAUUUCUGGGAACCCAAGGGCAAAGCAAAGCAAUUAAAAUGUUGAAGACUUAAAAAUAAACUUCAGAAGCUUCAAGUAAAAUACCUUUAG
RNAcentral lists this long non-coding RNA (802 nucleotides) under Manacus vitellinus (golden-collared manakin). RNAcentral describes it as "lncRNA (ENSMVIG00005004880.1)". Lineage: Eukaryota; Metazoa; Chordata; Aves; Passeriformes; Pipridae. The record is from RNAcentral.